GGUUUUGUAGUGUAGUUGGUUAUCACAGUGGAUUCUGAUUUUCCACUAACCCCGGUUCGAAUCCGGGCAAGACCU
This 75-nucleotide transfer RNA is filed under the name Geotrichum candidum. RNAcentral describes it as "transfer RNA-Gln (CTG)". It matches the Rfam family "tRNA". From Rfam's summary of the family: Transfer RNA (tRNA) molecules are approximately 80 nucleotides in length. The record is from RNAcentral. Lineage: Eukaryota; Fungi; Ascomycota; Dipodascomycetes; Dipodascales; Dipodascaceae.